This 490-nucleotide ribosomal RNA is filed under the name uncultured bacterium. Its description in RNAcentral is "partial 16S ribosomal RNA". It matches the Rfam family "Bacterial small subunit ribosomal RNA", at positions 30 to 507 of the family's 1533-position model. The record is from RNAcentral.
AUUGAACGCUGGCGGCGGGCCUAACACAUGAAAGUCGAAUGGUAACAGGAAACAGCUUGCUGUUUCGCUGACGAGUGGCGGACGGGUGAGUAAUGUCUGGGAAACUGCCUGAUGGAGGGGGAUAACUACUGGAAACGGUAGCUAAUACCGCAUAACGUCGCAAGACCAAAGAGGGGGACCUUCGGGCCUCUUGCCAUCAGAUGUGCCCAGAUGGGAUUAGCUAGUAGGUGGGGUAACGGCUCACCUAGGCGACGAUCCCUAGCUGGUCUGAGAGGAUGACCAGCCACACUGGAACUGAGACACGGUCCAGACUCCUACGGGAGGCAGCAGUGGGGAAUAUUGCACAAUGGGCGCAAGCCUGAUGCAGCCAUGCCGCGUGUAUGAAGAAGGCCUUCGGGUUGUAAAGUACUUUCAGCGGGGAGGAAGGGAGUAAAGUUAAUACCUUUGCUCAUUGACGUUACCCGCAGAAGAAGCACCGGCUAACUCCGUG